AACGAACGCUGGCGGCAUGCCUAACACAUGCAAGUCGAACGAGACCUUCGGGUCUAGUGGCGCACGGGUUCGUAACGCGUGGGAACCUGCCCUUAUGUUCGGAAUAACUCCCCGAAAGGGGUACUAAUACCGGAUAAUGUCUUCGGACCAAAGAUUUAUCGCCUUUGGAUGGGCCCGCGUUGGAUUAGCUAGUUGGUAGGGUAAAAGCCUACCAAGGCGACGAUCCAUAGCUGGGCUGAGAGGAUGAUCAGCCACACUGGGACUGAGACACGGCCCAGACUCCUACGGGAGGCAGCAGUGGGGAAUAUUGGACAAUGGGCGAAAGCAUGAUCCAGCAAUGCCGCGUGAGUGAUGAAGGCCUUAGGGUUGUAAAGCUCUUUUACCCGGGAUGAUAAUGACAGUACCGGGAGAAUAAGCUCCGGCUAACUCCGUG
Molecule: ribosomal RNA, 433 nt
Filed under: uncultured bacterium
Lineage: Bacteria
Description: partial 16S ribosomal RNA
Rfam family: Bacterial small subunit ribosomal RNA
Source: RNAcentral